Molecule: non-coding RNA, 916 nt
Organism: Misgurnus anguillicaudatus (oriental weatherfish)
Lineage: Eukaryota; Metazoa; Chordata; Actinopteri; Cypriniformes; Cobitidae
Source: RefSeq, a predicted model, not a curated record
ACACUGAAAAAAAUGGACUUAGUGGGUCUUUGAAUUUAAAUAAAAUAAACAUGUAUAUGCAACACAAAAUAUUUAUAUUCCUUGUGUAAACAUAAUUUAAUUGAUUAGGAUUAAAAUGUUUUGUUUGAAUGUAAAAUGAACACAUUAUUCUCACAUUGAUUAAAAUUGAUUGAAUUGAAUACUUAAAACAAUAAAAUUGGGUUUGGACACAAAACGGCACCUCCUGAGCAGCAGGGGCAGUAUAGCUCAUUGAGAAGGACAUCGAUUGCCAUAAAAGAAGAAUAAAGAUCGUUUUUUUGGGCGCCAAAAUGAAGACUCAGCAGCAGUCAGUCAGUCAGAAGAACUCUCUCAGACGGACACCACGUUAUUAAAGUCCAUCAUCCUUGCAUGCGCUACACAGCAUUGAUAAAUGCUGAAUUUGAAAGAAUCACUACUGUCUUAUGUUCCUGCGUGUCACCUGGACCUCCAAUCCAAAAACCUGAUGAAACUCUUCUAUCAGAAAGGAGGACAGCUAGCAAAAAGGCUUCAAACAAUCAAUGAUCAAAUGACAGAUGGCAUGGAUGAAGUCAGCAUCAGUGAGGUCAUUUGAAGACACCACUGUUGGGAUUUGUGCUCUCAAACAACCUGCUUCUUGUGAUGAAGAAGAGGAUCUUUGUAUAGUCCUGGAAGGCAUGAAGGUGUUGCAACAUCGUGCCAUGUUGUUUGAGCUGAUGUAUGCCUUAAACCUGAGCUAUCCUGAUCUCCGCUUUAUUUUUGAGGAAAUCCAAAAGAUUUUAAUGGAACUGCAUUGAGAGUAACUUUAACGAACAGUUUCUUUCAGUGAAAGGAUCAGAAAGACUGUGCUGCUCAUUUUUGACUUUGUUUAUCUGUUUUAAGUGUUUUCUCUUAUUAAUACAUUAACCGUUUGCUGCUCAGA